Molecule: ribosomal RNA, 207 nt
Filed under: uncultured Latescibacterota bacterium
Lineage: Bacteria; Pseudomonadati; Candidatus Latescibacterota
Description: uncultured Latescibacteria bacterium partial 16S ribosomal RNA
Rfam family: Bacterial small subunit ribosomal RNA
Source: RNAcentral
CGUGUAGGCGGUCAGGUAAGUGGAAUGUGGAAUGCCCCGGCUCACCCGGGGACCGGCAUCCCAAACUGCCUGGCUUGAGUAUGGGAGAGGAUGGAGGAAUUCCUGGUGUAGCGGUGAAAUGCGUAGAUAUCAGGAGGAACACCGGUGGCGAAGGCGUCCAUCUGGCCCAAUACUGACGCUGAGGCGCGAAAGCUAGGGGAGCAAACG